GGGUCUAUAGCUUAACUUGGAUAGAGCCUUCGGCUUCGGACCGAAUGAUCAGGGUUCAAAUCCCUGUAGGCCCA
This 74-nucleotide transfer RNA is filed under the name Candidatus Woesearchaeota archaeon. Its description in RNAcentral is "tRNA-Arg". It matches the Rfam family "tRNA". Rfam says of the family: Transfer RNA (tRNA) molecules are approximately 80 nucleotides in length. Their secondary structure includes four short double-helical elements and three loops (D, anti-codon, and T loops). Lineage: Archaea; Nanobdellati; Candidatus Woesearchaeota. The record is from RNAcentral.